This 494-nucleotide ribosomal RNA is filed under the name uncultured bacterium. RNAcentral's name for it is "partial 16S ribosomal RNA". It matches the Rfam family "Bacterial small subunit ribosomal RNA", at positions 28 to 507 of the family's 1533-position model. The record is from RNAcentral.
GACGAACGCUGGCGGCGUGCUUAACACAUGCAAGUCGAACGGAAAGGCCUGCUUUCUCUUGUGGAUUGCGGGUACUCGAGUGGCGAACGGGUGAGUAACACGUGAGUGAUCUGCCCCCAACUUGGGUAUAAGCCUGGGAAACUGGGUCUAAUUCUCGAUAGGACUGCAGGGUGGUGCCUGUGGUGGAGAACGAUUUUCUAGUGGUUGGGGAUAAGCUCGCGGCCUAUCAGCUUGUUGGUGGGGUAAUGGCCUACCAAGGCGGCGACGGGUAGCCGGCCUGGGAGGGUGGACGGGCACAUUGGGACUGGGAUACGGCCCAGACUGCUACGGGAGGCAGCAGUGGGGAAUAUUGGACAAUGGGCGGAAGCCUGAUGCAGCGACGCCGCGUGGGGGAUGACGGCCUGCGGGUUGUAAACUCCUUUCGACCGCGAGGAAGCCACCUGGUUGGAAGGGUGGUGACGGUAGUGGUAGAAGAAGCACCGGCUAACUACGUG